GUCUACAGCUAUACAACCUGAAUGCCUCCAAUCUCAUCUGGUCUUGGAAGCUAAGCGAGGUCAAGCCUGGUUAGUUCUUAGACGGGAGACUGCCUGGGAAUACCAGGUGCUAUCGGCU
RNAcentral lists this ribosomal RNA (118 nucleotides) under Saimiri boliviensis boliviensis (Bolivian squirrel monkey). The record is from RNAcentral. Lineage: Eukaryota; Metazoa; Chordata; Mammalia; Primates; Cebidae.